AACGGAGUCUUCAAGGGCCUACAACAUUCCCCACGUAUGUAGAAUUGGAAGGAAGUAGACAGAGGCCAACCCAGAGUAAUUCCAUAAUUUGUCUUGGUACACAUAACCCAACCUCCAGCGGUAUCAUCCACAACUCUUCACCUAAAGACUUUCUCUGGCCACCAGAGCCUGCUCUGCCCCUGGCCAUGUCAGAGUGAAAGUGAUGGAGAAUGUCUGCUUCCAGGGAACAGCCCUCAGCGAUGGAUGGGAAUUGGUGUACAGCUGCCCCAGCCCUAUCACUUCUCAGUUGGGGUAUGUCUGAGGUAGCAGAAUAUUGGCGUGUAGCGCUACUCAAAACAUAGAAAGCAGAAAUAAAUCAAUUCUGCCUGGAGGACCUCCUCCAUCUCAACACCCAGUGGUUUUGACAGAAUUGAUAUAGAAAUAGAAACUUCAAGAUGUUCACAGUGAAGCUGCUACGGGGAUAAUGAAUUGCAGAGGGGCAAGAGUGGAAUAAGGGAUGUAGCUUUACAUGUUGGAAAGAGCCCACGAUAGAAUAAACAGGGAAGAUAAGUGAGAAUAAACCUUGAAAGCCAAGCACAAUAUAAAUUAUCAAAAAGAAGGAAGCCUCCCCUUCAGGUGGCAUAUAUACCUUAAUCAAAUACCCUCAAAGUAGAUAUUAAAAAUCAUCAGAGCAAAUUUGCAGAAGCAGCCUACUUUGUCAAAAUGAGCAUUGGCUUUAGAGUGCAACAUGCUCACGUUUGAAUCCUGGUCUUGCUAUUUACUAGUUAGUUUCCUGAUUUGUAAAGCGAAGACCUUGACCUUUAGCCCUUGGAGUUUUGAUGAGAAGUUGCAUAAUCCACAUAAAGCAUUAUAUUGCAAUACCCAAGUUGCAGUAAGCUCAACACGUAAGGUUUCAUUAAGAUAUACAAGAGAGAAUUUACAAGCAGAAAGCAUACACCAUUUAUGUGUCAUUUAACCGAAAUGACCACAGCUAACUGAUUCUCUUUUCGGAGAUUUCCAAAACCCAUACGGUCCCUGUAAAGAAAGUUGGCCUCACUUGGAAAACGCGGGCCAGCAUCACUCAAGCUCCUGGGAAAACUGCUCCAAGCCAAAGCCAAAAAUAAUCCCAUUAGUCACAUUCGAAGUGCUAAGCAGAAACAAAAAGAAAUCAAAAUUAAUUUCAAUACUUACAGUGACAGCAGCAAUUAAGGUGACAAGAUUAUGGAAAUCAUCACCAUCACCGGAGAUCUUUGCCUAAGGGAGAAAAAUAACCAGUAAUAUAAAGGACUAAGAAACAGAGGAGUUCUGUUCACAACAAAUGAACCACCAGCCCUCAGAGGAUUUCAAUUGGGCAUUGCUCCAUGCAAUAAUAAUGUAUUCUGUACUCAUUAUGUAUCAACAUCUUUAAGCAAUUACCUCUAGUACUCACAUCAUCUCUAUAAGAAAUAUUAUUGUUCUCGUCUGUGAUUCAAGAAACUGAGUCACAGAAAGGUUAAACGAAUUACUCAAGUUCACGUUGAUGAAAAGUAUCAGAACCUUGAUCUAAGGUCUUCCUCAGUUGGGACCCCACUUCCAUCCCACUGCCCUAUCUUUGUAGAUAACAGCCUCGGGCUCCAAAGGAGAUGUGAUUCUUUCAGCUCCCUCUUAUCUGUGACUACGUGCCAGGAAUUGGAGAAAGGCUGCUCGGUGUGGUUUGAAUACUCCAUGGGUCAUCCAUUUUUUCCUCUUUCUGCUUUCCAGUUCGUCUCACUGCAAGUGAUUGCUAAAGAAUUCCAGUGUGGUUAUCUGAAAAAGACCCAAGCAUGAGAGGGGAGCACCCUGUUCUGAAAUAUCAGAAAAGAUAGAUUGCACCUUGCUGUGCAGAAUGACAAAAACAAUCAUUAAAGUCAAGUGGGUCUGGCAUAAAGAAGUCCAAGCAGUGCAAAGAAACUUUUUGUGACUCUGCCCUCUGGUCCUGUCUCCUGGGAAUGGUGCCCUUCUGGGGGCUUCGUAUAUUCUUAUUGAUCACCUCCACGGAGACCUGGGGUAAUGGAGAAAGAAAGCUGGUCUUUUAUCUGGAUUAACAAGUGGCUGAUGUGGGCUAAUCAUAUCAUUCAGUCCAAUUUGGAGCAAAUUGGAAGGUCUUCGGAGCAAAGAAGUAGCAACAGUUACUGAGAUCUUCAAGUGUAUUGGUGAGGACAAAUAAUAGCAAUAGCAGUCAUUAAAAUGCCAACAACACCCACUGCUGAGAUGUGGAGUGUUUCACAGUCUACAAUACUUCCCCUUUAUUCACAUUUUUAUUUCUAAGUCAGUAGUUCUGUUUUCUGAGAGUCCUUCAGGGGGACCUGGAAAGGGCAGAGAGUCAGAAAUGGUUUUACUUACUUGGGAAAUUUUAUUAACCUCAUGAGGUCAAGAGGCUUCUUGGGUGAGACGACUGUGAUUGUUAAAGCUUGUCUUAACAGAACAAAUCAUGGCCUCCUGGGUCUGGGUAGGUUGCAGAACGCUUUCUCCCCCCAUGUCUUUGGGAAGGGAGGUGUUGACCCAUCUUUUUCUGAGCCAUUUGAUUGUUGUUGUUUUUCAUAAACAAUAUUCGUGGCAAAAUCGUUGCCCAUUGGCCCGCCGUUGAACAGUCAUCUGUACCUAUGUCUGUACCUAUCUCUGUCAUCUGUACCUAUAUCUAGGUCCCUCUCAGAGAUGCAAAGCCUUUUUUGACAAGAAGAAUAGGGGAGAUUAAUAGGGAUUUCUGAGGAAUUAGCCCAACCCCAGAUAAAACAAGAGGCAAAUAAGUAAAUCCCUGAACAUUCAAGUCAUUCUGCCUUAAGUAACUAUCAACUUCCCUGGUAAAUGAGGGAGUGGAGGAGAUUUUUCAAGUUCUUUUUUCAUUCCUUCACCUGGGCAUUUAUUUGACAACUAUAUCCUGAGUAUGUGCCACAUGCCAGGCACAGUUCAAGGGGCCUGGGGACAUCAGAGAACAACAACAAAAAGACAACAACUCCUAGAUUUGUGUGGUUUCCAUCCCAACAGAGAUGUGUGGGAUGUGGGGACAGCAACAAUAAGGAUGAUACAGAGGUAAUUAUAUAGCAUAUUAGCAGGCGAAAGUGCAAUAGAAAAUGAAGAAAAGCAGGGGAGGAAGACUAGGAGUAUGAUCAUGAGGAAGGGGUUGAAAUUUCGAAGAGGAUGGUGGCAUGGAAAAGAUAACUUGAGCAAAAGAGGUGAUGGAGUUAGACAUGCGGAUAUCCAGGCAGAGGGAGCAGUCAAUUCAAGUGCCUUAUGUUGAGAGUAUGCCUGGCAUGUUUAAGAAAAACGAAGAGGAUGGAGUCCCUGAAUGAAGUGAGAGAAAGGGGAGUAGAAGAUGGUGUCAGAGAGCUUCUGGGAAAAGAGAGAGUGGGUCAUAGAGGAUCUGCACACCAUCUUAAAGAUCUGGCUUGAGACACUGGGCAUGGUGCUAUAAUCCUAGCACUUUGGGAGGCUGAGAUGGGAGGAACCCUUAAGGCCAGGAGUUUGAGACCAG
Molecule: non-coding RNA, 3469 nt
Organism: Macaca mulatta (Rhesus monkey)
Lineage: Eukaryota; Metazoa; Chordata; Mammalia; Primates; Cercopithecidae
Source: RefSeq, a predicted model, not a curated record